GACAGAGGUGCCAAGCGUUAGGCGGAAUCACUGGGCUUAAAGCGUGUGUAGGCGGACUCGUAAGUACCUUGUGAAAUCCCACGGCUCAACCGUGGAACUGCUUGGUAUACUGCUUGUCUUGAGCCACUUAGGGGCUGUCGGAACAAACGGUGUAGCGGUGAAAUGCGCAGAUAUCAGGAGGAACACCAAUGGCGAAGGCAGCUCGCUGGAACGGUACUGACGCUGAGGCGCGAAAGCGUGGGGAGCGAACAGG
RNAcentral lists this ribosomal RNA (253 nucleotides) under uncultured bacterium. RNAcentral describes it as "partial 16S ribosomal RNA". It matches the Rfam family "Bacterial small subunit ribosomal RNA", at positions 524 to 776 of the family's 1533-position model. The record is from RNAcentral.